Molecule: long non-coding RNA, 1994 nt
Organism: Grus americana (Whooping crane)
Lineage: Eukaryota; Metazoa; Chordata; Aves; Gruiformes; Gruidae
Exons: 2
Source: RefSeq, a predicted model, not a curated record
AAGGCUACAAAAGGGCUAGAGAUGCUCAGGUACUGUACAGAACUCCCGUUGCACGGCUGCUGCAGGGCUGUAGUUCCUUUUUAUGUGGUAUUUUCAGGCAGAAGUAAAGCUGACGAAUGUCAGCCGUCCCGGCGGGGGUUAAUGGCAGGCCGAGGCCAAAGUAUGUAGCUUAUACAAGUCUGUUAUCACAGCAAUUCUCGAUGAACCUUCCAACCCCUGCUCUUCUGUGAUUCUGUGGACUCUGGUCGUGUUGAUGGAGGAAAAGGAACUUGGAUCAGCCGGGGGGGCUGCGGAACGCUGCGUUUCAGCGCAGGGAGCGGGGACGAUGACAGCCGCUGUGCCUUCGGGGCUCUCCUGAACCUGAAGAAGGAGAGGGAGCAUCAUUUUUUGGUGAGGAGGAGCAGAGCGUAUCUGCCCUGGGCGUGUAGGGGGCACGGGGCUCCAUCGGUGCCUCGCCUCUCGCCGUUUCCUCCUGCAGUCAGUGCUGGGCACGAUCCGGUCUCUGAAGCUGCUCAAACUGGAGAUUAAGGUAACGCCGGUGAGCGACACGGCCGGACGGCGCGGUCCUUGCGCUGGGAAUUCGGGGCGUUUGCUGCUGCUCUGCAGCAGGAUCUCGGCGCUCGCAGGCACCGCUGCUGGCUCGGGAGGAGGAAAACCCAGCAAGGGAAAGCAAGCGGGCAACGGCAGCUCUGUGUGACGAAGCGAGAAGGAUGGCUAUGAAAACUCAAAGCGGCUCUGAAGACCUGCGGCCCAUCAGCAACAACUCUAGAGAGCUGCCGGGGCGGCGAGGCGCACGCGGUGCCGCAGCAGCGUAGGUCUGGCCGUGCUGGUACGGGCUUCAGGCUCUUGCUGCCGCAAACGUCGCAUCCCCGCGGCUGAGAGUAACUGAUGCUGAUGUAAGCCGGAUGGACUUGUGCCAUGAGUUACGUAAAACGGGACUCGUGAGAUUGUUUGGCAGAGAGCGAAGUCAUUGUCUGAGACGAUAAAUAUUACAGAUAGAAGAAAUGUCGGAUAGAACGGGCGUGAUCUUUGUCUGGAGUAAAUCCGCGUGGCUCACUUGAGCGUGACAGAUCUGGGCUUGCUGCAGACUGACCGAGGACGUGCCAUACAAUUCCUGCGCUGGGGUGACAUGGAUUGUACCUCCCUAUUUUUUUCUUAACAUUUAAGGGGUUACUUAGUCUGUACUGUCCCUUGUGUCCGCCUGGUUUCUUGACUUUAGGGAAGAUACCGUUCCAAAUGGGUGCCGGUAAUUUUUUGUCACUAGCUUCGAAGUUGUGGCGUGUCGCUUGCAUUGAAUUCUGCACGCGUUUUCAGCUCGGGGAGCUUAAAGGGAUAAGUAAAAAAUAUUGGGCAGUUUAAAGGAUGGAUGCGUGUGAUAAGGGAGGAGGUUGUGUAAAGGCACCAUUUUUCUACCGUUAAUUCAGUUUCCCCAGAGCGGCUGAGAUGAAAAACCCGAAUGACAGCAGCCUGGCCAUUCUGCUGGACUGAACUCGCGGUGAAGAAAGCUUGUUGAUACUUAUAUUUAGAGUUGGGGGGGCUGAUCUAGUGAUGAGUAAGUGAAUUAACAGUUAACUGGAACAGAUUCAGUGGGUAACAGAUCUCUAAAACGACUGCGGUAGGAGGAAAAUUCAGUUUGCUGUCGUCAGGUGCUUUCAAUAAACGCAGCCUCCUGUCGAUUUGCGGCGGUUCUGAGCAGUGCCGCCUUCUGUGCCCCCGCAGAGCAGAACCCAAACCUAGGCAGACCAGGGGACGGCACCUCUUGGUGGCUGGUAAGACAGCUUGCAGCAGCAUUUCCUCCUGUUAAGAUGCAGAUGAAUACACCUAUGCUGAUAUUAAAAAAGAUUUUUUAUUUUUUUUUUUUUGCUGCUAAAUAUCUUUGUUUCAAAAAUUAAAGCAGCGGCCCUGCCUUUACCUGUGCUGCUUCUUAACUGGCAGUAGCCGACGUUCCGAUGGGAGCCCGGAAUGGCGCGGUGUUGCUUGGAAGGCAGCUCCGG